UCCUGCCGGACCUGACUGCUAUCGGAUUGAUACUAAGCCAUGCGAGUCUUUGUAGUAAUACAAGGCAGACGGCUCAGUAACACGUAGUCAACCUACCCUAUGGACAAGAAUAAUCUCGGGAAACUGGGCAUAAUUCUCGAUAGAUCAUAAUGCCUGGAAUGGUUUAUGGUUAAAAUGAUUCGUCGCCAUAGGAUGAGACUGCGGCCUAUCAGCUUGUUGGUGAGGUAAUGGCCCACCAAGGCGAUUACAGGUACGGGCUCUGAGAGGAGAAGCCCGGAGAUGGGUACUGAGACACGGACCCAGGCCCUAUGGGGCGCAGCAGGCGAGAAAACUUUGCAAUGUGCGAAAGCACGACAAGGUUAAUCCGAGUGAUUUCUGCUAAAGAAAUCUUUUGCCAGUCAUAAAACCACUGGUGAAUAAGGGGUGGGCAAGUUCUGGUGUCAGCCGCCGCGGUAAAACCAGCACCUCAAGUGGUCAGGAUGAUUAUUGGGCCUAAAGCAUCCGUAGCCGGCUUUGUAAGUUUUCGGUUAAAUCCAUGUGCUCAACGCAUGGGCUGCCGAAAAUACUGCAUGGCUAGGGAGUGGGAGAGGUAGACGGUACUCAGUAGGAAGGGGUAAAAUCCUUUGAUCUAUUGAUGACCACCUGUGGCGAAGGCGGUCUACCAGAACACGUUCGACGGUGAGGGAUGAAAGCUGGGGGAGCAAACCGGAUUAGAUACCCGGGUAGUCCCAGCUGUAAACGAUGCAGACUCGAUGAUGCAUUGGCAUAAUAGCCAGUGCAGUGUCGCAGGGAAGCCGUUAAGUCUGCCGCCUGGGAAGUACGUACGCAAGUAUGAAACUUAAAGGAAUUGGCGGGGGAGCACCAC
Molecule: ribosomal RNA, 865 nt
Filed under: uncultured marine group I thaumarchaeote
Lineage: Archaea; Thermoproteati; Nitrososphaerota
Description: SSU rRNA
Rfam family: Archaeal small subunit ribosomal RNA
Source: RNAcentral